RNAcentral lists this ribosomal RNA (468 nucleotides) under uncultured bacterium. RNAcentral's name for it is "partial 16S ribosomal RNA". It matches the Rfam family "Bacterial small subunit ribosomal RNA", at positions 28 to 507 of the family's 1533-position model. The record is from RNAcentral.
GACGAACGCUGGCGGCGUGCUUAACACAUGCAAGUCGAACGGAAAGGCCCUGCUUUUGUGGGGUGCUCGAGUGGCGAACGGGUGAGUAACACGUGAGUAACCUGCCCUUGACUUUGGGAUAACUUCAGGAAACUGGGGCUAAUACCGGAUAGGAGCUCCUGCUGCAUGGUGGGGGUUGGAAAGUUUCGGCGGUUGGGGAUGGACUCGCGGCUUAUCAGCUUGUUGGUGGGGUAGUGGCUUACCAAGGCUUUGACGGGUAGCCGGCCUGAGAGGGUGACCGGCCACAUUGGGACUGAGAUACGGACCAGACGCCUACGGGAGGCAGCAGUGGAGAAUAUUGCACAAUGGGCGGAAGCCUGAUGCAGCAACGCCGCGUGCGGGAUGACGGCCUUCGGGUUGUAAACCGAUUUCGCAGGUGACGAAGAGUGAGUGACGGUAAUGGGUAAAGAAGCAACGGCUAACUACGUG